RNAcentral lists this ribosomal RNA (245 nucleotides) under uncultured bacterium. RNAcentral's name for it is "partial small subunit ribosomal RNA". It matches the Rfam family "Bacterial small subunit ribosomal RNA", at positions 26 to 285 of the family's 1533-position model. The record is from RNAcentral.
AGAAUCAACGCUGGCGGCGUGCCUAACACAUGCAAGUCGAACGAGAAAGUGGAGCAAUCCAUGAGUAAAGUGGCGACCGGGUGAGUAACACGUGACUAACCUACCUUCGAGUGGGGGAUAACCUCGGGAAACCGAGGCUAAUACCGCAUAACAUCGUGAGAUCAAAGCAGUAAUGCGCUUGGAGAGGAGUUCGCGGCAGAUUAGCUAGUUGGCGGGGUAAUGGCCCACCAAGGCGAUGAUCUGUA